AGUAAUGCCUAGGAAUCUGCCUGGUAGUGGGGGACAACGUUUCGAAAGGAACGCUAAUACCGCAUACGUCCUACGGGAGAAAGCAGGGACCUUCGGGCCUUGCGCUAUCAGAUGAGCCUAGGUCGGAUUAGCUAGUUGGUGAGGUAAUGGCUCACCAAGGCGACGAUCCGUAACUGGUCUGAGAGGAUGAUCAGUCACACUGGAACUGAGACACGGUCCAGACUCCUACGGGAGGCAGCAGUC
Molecule: ribosomal RNA, 243 nt
Filed under: uncultured Pseudomonas sp.
Lineage: Bacteria; Pseudomonadati; Pseudomonadota; Gammaproteobacteria; Pseudomonadales; Pseudomonadaceae
Description: partial 16S ribosomal RNA
Rfam family: Bacterial small subunit ribosomal RNA
Source: RNAcentral